GAACGCACAUUGCACCCUCUGGUAAUCCAGAGGGUAUGCCUGUUUGAGUGUCAUUAGCAACAUCAAAUCACAGAUUUUGCUCUGUGAUUUGGACUUUGAAGGCAUUGCUGACUGUUAAAGUCAGCUCCUUUUAAAUGCAUUAGCAGGUUGCAAACAACUGGCCCCAGUUUGAUAGACUUAAUCAUCUGUGCUGUCGCUAGUAGUUUUGACCGCUGCCAAUUGUCUUUGGACUUGCCAUCAGGCAAUACAUUUUAAGUCUUGACCUCAAAUCAGGUAGGAUUACCCGCUGAACUUAAG
Molecule: unclassified non-coding RNA, 297 nt
Filed under: uncultured Clavariaceae
Lineage: Eukaryota; Fungi; Basidiomycota; Agaricomycetes; Agaricales; Clavariaceae
Description: sequence contains 5.8S rRNA gene
Rfam family: 5.8S ribosomal RNA (bases 1-53)
Source: RNAcentral